AGCAGCCGCGGUAAUUCCAGCUCCAAUAGCGUAUAUUAAAGUUGUUGCAGUUAAAAAGCUCGUAGUUGAAUUUCGGGGUUAGUAGGUUGGUCAUGCCUCUGGUAUGUACUGGUCUCACUGAUUCCUCCUUCCUGAUGAACCGUAAUGCCAUUAAUUUGGUGUUGCGGGGAAUUUGGACUGUUACUUUGAAAAAAUUAGAGUGUUUAAAGCAAGCUAACGCUUGAAUACAUUAGCAUGGAAUAAUGAAAUAGGACGUUCGAUCUUAUUUUGUUGGUUUCUAGGAUUGACGUAAUGAUUAAUAGGGAUAGUUGGGGGCAUUAGUAUUCAAUUGUCAGAGGUGAAAUUCUUGGAUUUAUUGAAGACUAACUACUGCGAAAGCAUUUGCCAAGGAUGUUUUCAUUAAUCAAGAACGAAAGUUAGAGGUUCGAAGGCGACCAGAUACCGCCCUAGUUCUAACCAUAAACGAUGCCAACCAGCGAUCCGUCAUUGUUCAUUCAAUGACUUGACGGGCAGCUUCCGG
Molecule: small RNA, 520 nt
Filed under: uncultured Glomus
Lineage: Eukaryota; Fungi; Glomeromycota; Glomeromycetes; Glomerales; Glomeraceae
Description: SSU rRNA
Rfam family: Eukaryotic small subunit ribosomal RNA
Source: RNAcentral